GAGGCAGAGGAAGAUGAUGUUGAAGGGGAUUCCUGAUGAGAUUUCCCGAGCACUUGAGUAAUGCAAAGCAGAUCAUUCAGUUGCGUCUCAAGAACCCAGCAAAAGUCAGACUGGGGCAUUACAAAUGUAAUGUAAAAAAAAAAGAAAAAAAAAAGAGAGAAGAGGGUGAAAAAUCAAAAUGCAAUGAAAAAUCAGGAAAAUUUUUUCAAAUAGAAAAAAUAAAAGAAUGAUACCCUCAAGUCCCUAGUUGACUGAUGCUGAAUGGAUUCAGAGUCGUUAUGACCAACUGAAUUUGAUU
Molecule: long non-coding RNA, 298 nt
Filed under: Lathyrus oleraceus (garden pea)
Lineage: Eukaryota; Viridiplantae; Streptophyta; Magnoliopsida; Fabales; Fabaceae
Description: Pisum sativum (pea) long non-coding RNA (PSAT_LNC041322)
Source: RNAcentral